This 1182-nucleotide long non-coding RNA is filed under the name Apteryx rowi (Okarito brown kiwi). Its description in RNAcentral is "lncRNA (ENSARWG00000008490.1)". Lineage: Eukaryota; Metazoa; Chordata; Aves; Apterygiformes; Apterygidae. The record is from RNAcentral.
AAAAUCUCCAUGAGUGCUAAUGGCAUAAUGAAUGGGAAGAAACAAUAUAAAAAAAUGAAUACAGCAUUUUUACUGAAUAUGCCAAUAAUCUACAGAGUCUGUUGUCGUAUCUGGUCUCCCAGUGAAGCCUCUGAAGACAGAGGCACUGGUCUGUCUGUUGGCAUGAUGUUUUGAUGAAAGAAAAAGAAACAAAAGAAAGCAACUUCUUUUUUAACCAAGUUUGUAUUAGAAUUUUAUAGCUGCAACAAAAUGCAGAGCACUGAAGUCUAAGUGAAACUUAAGCAGCAAACUGGUACAUUGAAAGUGGCAUCAGUAUUAAAUUCAUCUUCCCUUUAAUGAUCUGGGUUUCAGAUAUUGCUUCCAGAACACAUGCUGAAGACCCCUAACCCUUGUGCAAAUCCUGAAGAUGCAUCCUUGGAAGCAUGCACUUUUUCUGUGAUAGAAAGGGAAAAUGCAGCCUUCUGCUUUACUGGAGUUUGCAAGGACACAGUAUAUUUGCUUAAGAGGGCACUCUACUGGCUACUUUUUGGAAGUUUCUUGCUCCUUCUGCCUGCUGGCUCUGACAUCCCCAUUCCAGAGGAAGUGAAAUGCAGCAUCUCUUCUAAGAGGGAGCGUUGGAGGUGGUGACAUCUGAAGACUGAGGAGCUCAAGGGAACUUCUCAUACUGUCCUAGUGCUUGGGAAGGACCUUGAAAUGUCCCUGCCUCCACAGAAGUAUUCUGAGAAUUACCAUAGAGCACUUUGGAGUCAGGGAAGACCUCCCUCAGAACUCCAUUGAAGAGCAGCAACUAGAAGACCAAGAACUGGUGCUUCCAAGGCCUCCAGGCUCAUGGAACUAUAAAAGGGAAUGUAGGGGGCAUAGGAUUUUUGAGCUGACGCAGUGCAGAUGUUGGGGACUGAAAUGGAGCAUCUGAACCUGAUGGACCUAUAUUGCAAAAUGUGUGUUUAUCAGUGGUUAAUAAUUUAAUUCUCCAUGUAAUAAUGUAAGGAACUUUCAAACCUUCUAUCUAGUUUGACAUGUUCAUAUCAGCAGUCCCAUUCUGCACAGCUCUCUGGUGAGCUAAAUCUUCUUUUCUGGCAUUAUUCCAAAUAUUUCUAAGGGGGGAAAAAUUCAUGUGAUAUCCUUUCCAGCUACACUAUGGAGGACAAUAAACACUUCCAUCAAGGUUAAAACUUCCCUUUC